This 667-nucleotide ribosomal RNA is filed under the name uncultured bacterium. RNAcentral's name for it is "bacterial SSU rRNA". It matches the Rfam family "Bacterial small subunit ribosomal RNA", at positions 54 to 710 of the family's 1533-position model. The record is from RNAcentral.
CAUGCAAGUCGAGGGGCAGCAUGGUCUUAGCUUGCUAAGGCCGAUGGCGACCGGCGCACGGGUGAGUAACACGUAUCCAACCUGCCGUCUACUCUUGGACAGCCUUCUGAAAGGAAGAUUAAUACAAGAUGGCAUCAUGAGUCCGCAUGUUCACAUGAUUAAAGGUAUUCCGGUAGACGAUGGGGAUGCGUUCCAUUAGAUAGUAGGCGGGGUAACGGCCCACCUAGUCUUCGAUGGAUAGGGGUUCUGAGAGGAAGGUCCCCCACAUUGGAACUGAGACACGGUCCAAACUCCUACGGGAGGCAGCAGUGAGGAAUAUUGGUCAAUGGGCGAGAGUCUGAACCAGCCAAGUAGCGUGAAGGAUGACUGCCCUAUGGGUUGUAAACUUCUUUUAUAAAGGAAUAAAGUCGGGUAUGGAUACCCGUUUGCAUGUACUUUAUGAAUAAGGAUCGGCUAACUCCGUGCCAGCAGCCGCGGCAAUACGGAGGAUCCGAGCGUUAUCCGGAUUUAUUGGGUUUAAAGGGAGCGUAGAUGGAUGUUUAAGUCAGUUGUGAAAGUUUGCGGCUCAACCGUAAAAUUGCAGUUGAUACUGGAUAUCUUGAGUGCAGUUGAGGCAGGCGGAAUUCGUGGUGUAGCGGUGAAAUGCUUAGAUAUCACGAAGAACUCC